Long non-coding RNA from Lycium barbarum (goji berry), 810 nucleotides. RefSeq lists it as uncharacterized. Lineage: Eukaryota; Viridiplantae; Streptophyta; Magnoliopsida; Solanales; Solanaceae. The record is from RefSeq and is a predicted model, not a curated record. The transcript is spliced from 2 exons.
ACCAACUCAACCAUCACCGCCACGCCACCCCACCCCCCCAUCACGUCCGUCACCUCACCACCACCACGCCCAUAUCCCACAAAAUCCGCUACCUACACCCCUCUUCUCCUUCCUCACACUCCAUCUCUAAAGCUUGCAGGCUCCAUGUGCAAUUUUAGCAGAUUUCAUGGGUAAGUCCCAUCACCCCUUUCACCGUCUCAUCUGUUGAAAACGUCCAUUUUUCCCCCCUCUUUAAUUCGAAAUUUAAAGGAAAAAGCCUCUGGAGGAAGUUGUUGAAACCCCCUCAGUGUUUACCUAUAAAUACAGGCCUUCCUGGGCUGUUUUAGAUAAGGUUCAAGUGUUGAAAAUCCCUCUUGAAUAACUCAAAAAAAAAAUCAUCUGUUUUCAUCAAGCUUUUCAUAAAAAAAAAAAUCUUUUUUUUUACUCUAAGUUGCUGGUCUCAAAAAAUUCUCUUUUAACUCUAAUUUUGUUUUGUCGAAUUCUUGGUGGUUCUCGGCUAAACGAGCUCUUCAAGAGGAUUCGGAGACCCGACGAUGACAUUAGCCUCAGUUCGCUGUCCCGGAGAAGUUAUGGCAACUCCGGAUUUUGCCCAUAUCAGAGAACACCCGGUUGCAAGAUUUAAUUGCUCGUGUCUAGCGCCCCCGUCUUCCUUCCUCUCUUUAAAUUUCGUGUCUUCGUGUUAUCAUGUAUAUACAUGUUUAUAUUCUUGACUAACAUUUUUUAUGGAUUGUAUUUGUAGCACAUUUGUUUCUCGCUUGUGUAGGAACUUAUGGAAACAAUAGUUAAGUAUGAUGGUAAAUUUAGUCACUA